GUAUGUCUUAAUUGACUUCCACGUCGAUGAAGGUUCUUGCUCAUAUCUUGAAAGAGUAUGUCUUAAUUACUACAAGGUGAGCAUUUUACCACAAAUGAAUGUCGUAUUCUUUAACUUUGAUUCAACUAUUGUUUCCAAACCCUAGAUUGUAAUAGUAAUAGCAUAAUGUAGGUAAAAUUAAGGGGGGAAAUGAGGAGGGUCUCAAAAUCCAAGAAACUUCAGUUCAACUUCAGCAAAAUAUAAGAUUGCAGAGAAGAGCAUAUAUUGUUUCCUUUCGCAUGUCCUCGUUCAUAGAGUUCACAAAAAAAAAAAAAAAAAAAAAACCCUUCAACUAUUGUUUCCAAACCCUAGAUUGUAAUAGUAAUAGCAUAAUGUAGGUAAAAUUAAGGGGGGAAAUGAGGAGGGUCUCAAAAUCCAAGAAACUUCAGUUCAACUUCAGCAAAAUAUAAGAUUGCAGAGAAGAGCAUAUAUUGUUUCCUUUCGCAUGUCCUCGUUCAUAGAGUUCACAAAAAAAAAAAAAAAAAAAAAACACCUUUUUGUUCUCUGUAAAUAAGUAUGUACUAAUACAGUAUUCGUUAACUCCCAUGCUGAUGAAACUUUUUCUCACAGGUCUUGAAAGAAUAAAUUCUAUGGGCCAAAUUAUGUUUCUGGAAUUUCUUCAGAAGAGCGAAUGUCGUGAUUUAUAAACUUUUAACUUCAACUCAAUUACUAAUAGAAAGCCCUAGGUAGCACUAGCAUAAGUAAAUUAAAGAAAAGAACGAUUAGAGUACAUAAAUCUAGUGGACAAAAUUUUCUUUUCUUCAGAAGGCAGAGUUAAAAGACAAGUUUCUCUUCUGAAUUUAAUUUCUCAUGUUUAUUAGUCUACCCUUACAUUAAUAGGUUUAUAAGAUGCCUAUUUUGAAUAGAGUGAACUCUUUGCAUACAGAUCAAAGAUUACAGAAAGAAAUAAAUAAUUGACAAUAUUAACAAAAUAAUCAAAAGCUUAGUCCCUGUUUGACGACCAUUAUUUUGGGGAAAAAAAGAUAUUUUGAACAGUUAUUUUCUGGAGAAUAUGUGAUUAAAAAGUAGAGAAAAGUUGAGUUUACAUGUAAAAUAUUUUAUUGUAUAAGUGUGGUUGAAAAUGAGUAUGAGAAUUAAAGAGUUUUGAAAUAAUGAUUG
This 1158-nucleotide long non-coding RNA is filed under the name Olea europaea (common olive). RNAcentral's name for it is "long non-coding RNA (OEUR_LNC005735)". The record is from RNAcentral. Lineage: Eukaryota; Viridiplantae; Streptophyta; Magnoliopsida; Lamiales; Oleaceae.